GUUCCCAGCACAGGGUCCCCCUCGGCCCACAGCCCAGGGGAAGAGCCAGGCACGUUCUCCUCCCGUGCUUCAGCGUCACCUUGCUUUGUGCACACCCGAGAGCUGCACUAAGAAAGGCCCGAGUGGCCACAUGUUGGUCCGUGCGGUCCAUGGUGGUGUUGCACGCGGCCUGCAGAGAGUAUUUGGCAACCUGCCCGUGGCCAGCCAGUGGGUCGCCCUGCCCACCCUGUCGCUGUGGAACUGAUGACCUGGGUCUUUCUCCCAUGCCAGUACCUGGCCCAGCUCCGGUCCUUAAUGGAGAAAGAGAUCACCGCAUUUAAUGGGAACUUCUCUCAUCUGCUUGUGAUUCUAGAUGACUACACUGGUUCACGGAAUCGAGUUGCCUGGCUGGACACGGCUUCUGUUCCGCAGAUGGAACCCAGAGGUAAGUCAGUGCAAGGACAGAGCCUUGCCUUUGGGGCUCCCCCUCCCCUUCUCUUGUCCUCCCCUCUCCAUCCCCUUUCUGUUCUCUUCCCCUCCCCUCCCCGUCUCCAGACAGUUCCACACAUGGAUAGUUGUGUAUUAGUGCACGGUGCCGCUGCAGGCACCCAGCGCCUAUUUUUGAGAUGCUGCUGUGUGGAAGGGAGAGAAGAGUGCUGCGGAGUAAUGCCCUGUUGUUCCCAUCUGGGGGCGGAUAUGGUCGUGUAUGACAGGAGCUGCUCUGUUCUGUUCACAGAUCUGAGUGCAGGUGAAUGGGAUGCAGGAUCCCAGCUGGCUCCCGGGACGGAUGCUGUAUCAGAUGACAUGGGAGUGAGAACACAGAGCUGCGCGUGCGUGCCCUGUCCCUGCACCAUCCCCUGCUGCCAUCUGCUCUUCAGUUGUGCCGUUACGCAGCGACGUAGAUGGCGGUGCGUGAUGGAAAGCUCUCGUGGUUCUUUGGUUGCAGAAGUGCCUCCAGAGAGGGCCGUGCCAAACCCUCAGCAGCUUCCCGCACCGCAGCCCCGCUGGUAUCCCAGGGGUCCCGCGAGACUGACAGGAAAACGGGGAAGAGGAAGAUAUUUGCAAAGGUUUUACCCUCUUGUAAGGAAAAUCCCAGACGAGAAUGCAGUGCCUGGUGGGUGUAUUUCUGUCUGUUCACCGUAA
This 1122-nucleotide long non-coding RNA is filed under the name Numida meleagris (helmeted guineafowl). Its description in RNAcentral is "lncRNA (ENSNMEG00000019867.1)". The record is from RNAcentral. Lineage: Eukaryota; Metazoa; Chordata; Aves; Galliformes; Numididae.